UAGCAGGUAAAGACAGAGAGAUGAAAACACUAUUCGU
This 37-nucleotide unclassified non-coding RNA is filed under the name Leishmania tarentolae. RNAcentral's name for it is "guide RNA". The record is from RNAcentral. Lineage: Eukaryota; Euglenozoa; Kinetoplastea; Trypanosomatida; Trypanosomatidae.